Molecule: non-coding RNA, 113 nt
Organism: Xylaria sp. CBS 124048
Lineage: Eukaryota; Fungi; Ascomycota; Sordariomycetes; Xylariales; Xylariaceae
Source: the annotation of a GenBank genome assembly
GGUGAGAUGGCCGAGUGGUUAUGGCGCCGUGUUCAGGUUUCAUCGGAUUUCCGAUACGUUGAACAAAUUUCGCGGUGGAGCAAUCCGCGUGGGUUCGAGUCCCACUCUCAUCA